UACGAAGGGGGCUAGCGUUGCUCGGAAUCACUGGGCGUAAAGCGCACGUAGGCGGAUUGCUAAGUCAGGGGUGAAAUCCUGGAGCUCAACUCCAGAACUGCCUUUGAUACUGGCGACCUUGAGUCCGGGAGAGGUGAGUGGAACUGCGAGUGUAGAGGUGAAAUUCGUAGAUAUUCGCAAGAACACCAGUGGCGAAGGCGGCUCACUGGCCCGGUACUGACGCUGAGGUGCGAAAGCGUGGGGAGCAAACAGGG
This 254-nucleotide ribosomal RNA is filed under the name uncultured bacterium. RNAcentral's name for it is "partial 16S ribosomal RNA". It matches the Rfam family "Bacterial small subunit ribosomal RNA", at positions 524 to 777 of the family's 1533-position model. The record is from RNAcentral.